This 1656-nucleotide long non-coding RNA is filed under the name Amphibalanus amphitrite. Its description in RNAcentral is "uncharacterized LOC122378488". The record is from RNAcentral. Lineage: Eukaryota; Metazoa; Arthropoda; Thecostraca; Balanomorpha; Balanidae.
CUGCUGCUGCUGCUGUCCACGGAGGGCAGCGUUUGUGAGUGGAAAACAGUAGCAAAAUUGUAAAUGAAGGCAGUAUUGGCGCUUAUGCUACAUAUGAAAUUUAUAACAUUGAUAGGGUCUGCAUGCAAAAGUUCUGUUAUUUUAGAGUCAAGCUAUUGUACUAAGGGAUUUAUUUUGGCAAUUUAGUCAUUUGUUAGGUUAUAGGGCUGCAGAAACUUUUAGUUGAGGAUCGGCGUUCUACAGCUGCGACCCGCCAUGGCUGGGCCACCGCGGCGGCAUCACCUUCAGGAUGGACCUGACCGUGGCCACCCGCUGGUCGGACCCGCCUGCAGUCCGCAGGGAAGCUGCCCUGCGAGCUAUUGCAGAGCUUCUGCACCCGGACGUCACUAUCUGGUCGGACGGCUCGGCUCGCGGCGGGACGGAACAGGGCGGCGCAGGCGCUGAUCCAGUUCCACCACCUCAACAGAGAAGAGACCGUGCGCGCUCUUACAGGGGCGGUCUGCUCCAGCCUAAGAGCAGAACUGACCGCCAUGCGCGAGGCGUUCGCGGCUGUGGCCGGCCUGGAGGACGGGGAGUUGGUAUCGACCAAGUCGGUCCGCCUCCUCACCGACUCAAGGUCUGGGCUCCAACUACUCGGCCGCGGCCCAGCUAACCAGACCAUGGCCCUGGCCGCCGAGGUGUGGAGGCUGCUGAGUGCUGAGCACCCUCGCCGAGAACGGCACCGAGACGGUGCUCUAGUGGGUGCCAGGCCAUGCCGGGCUGGACGGCAACGAAACCGCCGACCGCCUGGCUGGCGAGGCCACGGCGGGCGACCAAGACAGCGCACCGAUCGACCUGUCGAGUGCGCGGGCCGCCGUCACGCGCCAUGUCCGGGAGCUGUCGCGACAGAGGGCAACCGCUGCCCACCCGCACCCGGACCCCACACCUGGCCACGACUCCCUGGCGCGCUGGGGCUCGGUGACACUGUCCCAGCUGAGGACCGGCACAUCACCGCUGACCCGUGACACGCUCCACAAGAUUGGCCCGGCAGCCGACGACGAAUGCCCCGCGUGCGGGGAGCCCGACAGCGCGGCUCACCUACUGACCGAUUGUCCGGCCUAUGAGGCGGCCCGCCGCCGCCGCUGGGGUGUCGACCCUCGCCUGGUCGACGUCCUCGGCGGCCCGGCGAUGAAGGUCGUCGCCUUCAUCGAGGAUGUUGGGCGGACCGAGCCGCCGCUCGACCCGCCUGCGCCGCCGCCCCCCCCCCCCCCCCCCUGAGCGGGUUGGCGGUGGGAUGCAGAAGAAGAAGAAGAAGCAACUGCCAGCGCGCCACGGCGGCGAAGCCGAGUUCCGCCGCUGGACCGCCCGCGCAAUGGCCAGCACAGACAAGAGACAACCGAAUCACAAUACCUACAAUUACGUUAUUGUUAUGGUAUUGACAUUGCUACAAUUAGCCCUGCUCUUUCGAGCGUGGAUGCACGCUGAAAUUGUCGCAUAAUUCCAUGCAGCUUCCACCCUUCUGCAAUACAAAGUUUGAAUACAAAGUAGUCUUGCAAUAGGUUUAGAACUUAUGUGCAGAUUGUCGAUGCUGGUUGACUUGAUGAUUGGAAUUGUGUUUAUCUGUUUCAUCUGUUUUGACUUAAAUAUAUGGCCAUGGACUAUGGCCUACCUUGGGAA